UCUGAGUGGGUCAUAUGUUUCACUGUGAGUCCUCUCGAAUCAUUCUAGCCUUCUGUAAGUAACCAGAUUGGUGUGUCUAGCAAUACAGAAAGCAGAAACAUUAUUCAAAGGCAGCAAUAAGGAAAAAAUGAAAUGUCUGAACAUUCUUUCCCUUUUGACUGGACAGAACCUACCAACCUUUAAGGCUUCAGUUUCACAGGUGCAAAAGGAGGAUAUGGAAUUAAUAAUAAUGACGAUGAUGAUGACUGCAUUUGAACAGAACUUGAAGAGUUCUCAUCCCUCAUCUUGUCUGAUCCUCACAGCAGUCCUGGGAGGAUAAAUAAUCCUCUGUCCCCAUCACCACUACUGCUGAACUGGAAGAUGGCCACUCAAGAAUGGGUACCAUUUUGUAUUUUUUGUUUAUUUGUUUUAUGCAUUGUCAAGACCAAAAAUUUAUUUGGAGUGGCCAACCUACUGUAAUGAGCCUCUUCACUUGUACCUAGGCAGAUCCAUGGACCAUAGUUGUUGAAGUCUUUCCAGCACAGUGUAACUUGCCUGAGUUCAGCUCUACCAGCACGGCCUUAGAGAGUCUAGAAUUACCUCUACAAUAAGGUAGUUGA
Phascolarctos cinereus (koala) is the source of this 599-nucleotide non-coding RNA. NCBI's taxonomy places the organism in Eukaryota, Metazoa, Chordata, Mammalia, Diprotodontia, Phascolarctidae. The record is from RefSeq and is a predicted model, not a curated record.